This 266-nucleotide ribosomal RNA is filed under the name uncultured Staphylococcus sp. Its description in RNAcentral is "partial 16S ribosomal RNA". It matches the Rfam family "Bacterial small subunit ribosomal RNA", at positions 96 to 354 of the family's 1533-position model. The record is from RNAcentral. Lineage: Bacteria; Bacillati; Bacillota; Bacilli; Caryophanales; Staphylococcaceae.
CGGCGGACGGGUGAGUAACACGUGGGUAACCUACCUAUAAGACUGGGAUAACUUCGGGAAACCGGAGCUAAUACCGGAUAAUAUUUCGAACCGCAUGGUUCGAUAGUGAAAGAUGGUUUUGCUAUCACUUAUAGAUUGACCUGCGCCGUAUUAGCUAGUUGGUAAGGUAACGGCUUACCAAGGCGACGAUACGUAGCCGACCUGAGAGGGUGAUCGGCCACACUGGAACUGAUACACGGUCCAGACUCCUACGGGAGGCAGCAGAU